CUUUUUUCUUACACAUCUUGGAGGCCUGUGGGACUCUGAAGCACUGACCUGGCGGGGCCUCUUUAAAUUUGGACUUCAACAGGUAUGAUGGAUCACGUUCUAUGAAGGUGGAAAUUGUUGACGUACAUGAUUCAUAUACAAAUCUAAUUAUAGUGUCAAAUGAUGUGAUGUUUCUUGCAGAUAUUUUUUUGUUUCAAGAUGCGUCAAUUAUUUUCCAUGAUUGCCUAAUUAAUACAUCAGACUGAGUCCGUGACACGUUACAUUCUUUCUGCAUUUCUUUCUUUCCAGUAACUGUACACACUCUGUUGACACAACAGCUGACAGUCUGCUGGCAGGGCUACUCGGCGUGUUGAAACUUGUCUCAUGAACAACAGUGGCUGGUGUGCCGGUGGUGCUGCUGCAGAAAAAGGACCCUCUGCUGACAGGGGAACAUGCACGGAAAUCAAGAGGCUUUUAGGAAACAGCAGGGCAUCCCUGUGGGAGCAUGUAAGCACCUUCGAGGGAGCACCGAGGUGGUUGUUGUCGACAGUAAGAACUCUAGAGAUGGGAGAAGCCUCUGUCGCUAGUCAAUUACAUUUAUUACAGAC
Xyrichtys novacula (pearly razorfish) is the source of this 587-nucleotide non-coding RNA. Lineage: Eukaryota; Metazoa; Chordata; Actinopteri; Labriformes; Labridae. The record is from the annotation of a GenBank genome assembly.